AGUAAAAGUCGUAACAAGGUCUCCGUAGGUGAACCUGCGGAGGGAUCAUUACACAAAUAUGAAGGCGGGCUGGAACCUCUCGGGGUUACAGCCUUGCUGAAUUAUUCACCCUUGUCUUUUGCGUACUUCUUGUUUCCUUGGUGGGUUCGCCCACCACUAGGACAAACAUAAACCUUUUGUAAUUGCAAUCAGCGUCAGUAACAAAUUAAUAAUUACAACUUUCAACAACGGAUCUCUUGGUUCUGGCAUCGAUGAAGAACGCAGCGAAAUGCGAUAAGUAGUGUGAAUUGCAGAAUUCAGUGAAUCAUCGAAUCUUUGAACGCACAUUGCGCCCUUUGGUAUUCCAAAGGGCAUGCCUGUUCGAGCGUCAUUUGUACCCUCAAGCUUUGCUUGGUGUUGGGCGUUUUUGUCUUUGGCCCGCCAAAGACUCGCCUUAAAAUGAUUGGCAGCCGGCCUACUGGUUUCGCAGCGCAGCACAUUUUUGCGCUUGCAAUCAGCAAAAGAGGACGGCAAUCCAUCAAGACUCCUUCUCACGUUUGACCUCGGAUCAGGUAGGGAUACCCGCUGAACUUAAGCAUAUCAAUAAGCGGAGGA
This 594-nucleotide ribosomal RNA is filed under the name uncultured fungus. Its description in RNAcentral is "eukaryotic LSU rRNA". The stretch from base 217 to 370 matches the Rfam family "5.8S ribosomal RNA". Lineage: Eukaryota; Fungi. The record is from RNAcentral.